CCACGCUGUAAACGAUGGAUGCUAGGUGUCGGGAAUUUUUUUCGGCGCCACAGUUAACGCGUUAAGCAUCCCGCCUGGGGAGUACGGUCGCAAGGCUGAAACUCAAAGAAAUUGACGGGGGCCCGCACAAGCGGUGGAGUAUGUGGUUUAAUUCGAUGCAACGCGAAGAACCUUACCCAGACUUGACAUCCCGCGAACUGUGUAGAGAUACACGGGUGCCCCUCGGGGAAUGUGGAGACAGGUGCUGCAUGGCUGU
RNAcentral lists this ribosomal RNA (256 nucleotides) under uncultured bacterium. RNAcentral describes it as "partial 16S ribosomal RNA". It matches the Rfam family "Bacterial small subunit ribosomal RNA", at positions 795 to 1052 of the family's 1533-position model. The record is from RNAcentral.